CGGUGCUGAAGCAACAAAUGCCCUGCUUCCAGGAAAAGCCUCUAAGCAUCAGGUAACAUCAAAUCGUACCCCAAACCGACACAGGUGGGAAGGAUGAGAAUUCUAAGGCGCUUGAGAGAACUCGGGUGAAGGAACUCGGCAAAAUGGUACCGUAACUUCGGGAGAAGGUACGCCUCUGCUGGUUAAUAGCUGGCGGAGGCCGCAGAGACCAGGUGGCUGCGACUGUUUAUCAAAAACAUAGCACUCUGCAAACACGUAAGUGGAAGUAUAGGGUGUGACCCCUGCCCGGUGCCGGAAGGUUAAUUGAUGGGGUUAGUUUUCGGACGAAGCUCUUGAUCGAAGCCCCGGUGAACGGCGGCCGUAACUAUAACGGUCCUAAGGUAGCGAAAUUCCUUGUCGGGUAAGUUCCGACCUGCACGAAUGGCGUAACGAUGGCCACACUGUCUCCACCCGAGACUCAGUGAAAUUGAAAUCGCUGUUAAGAUGCAGUGUAUCCGCGGCUAGACGGAAAGACCCCGUGAACCUUUACUACAGCUUCACAGUGGACCUUGAUAUGACUUGUGUAGGAUAGCUGGGAGGCUAUGAAACCCGGACGCCAGUCUGGGUGGAGCCAAUCUUGAAAUACCAGCCUGGUCAUGUUGGGGUUCUAACCUGGCGCCAUAAUCUGGCGUGGGGACAUUGUGUGGUGGGUAGUUUGACUGGGGCGGUCUCCUCCCAAAGAGUAACGGAGGAGCACGAAGGUACUCUCGGCAUGGUCGGAAAUCAUGCUAUGAGUGUAAAGGCAUAAGAGUGCUUGACUGCGAGAUUGACGAAUCGAGCAGGUGGGAAACCAGGUCUUAGUGAUCCGGUGGUUCUUUAUGGAAGGGCCAUCGCUCAACGGAUAAAAGGUACGCCGGGGAUAACAGGCUGAUACUACCCAAGAGUUCAUAUCGACGGUAGUGUUUGGCACCUCGAUGUCGGCUCAUCACAUCCUGGGGCUGAAGCAGGUCCCAAG
Molecule: ribosomal RNA, 994 nt
Filed under: Elysia cornigera
Lineage: Eukaryota; Metazoa; Mollusca; Gastropoda; Plakobranchidae
Description: bacterial LSU rRNA
Rfam family: Bacterial large subunit ribosomal RNA
Source: RNAcentral